Molecule: small nucleolar RNA, 78 nt
Filed under: Vombatus ursinus (common wombat)
Lineage: Eukaryota; Metazoa; Chordata; Mammalia; Diprotodontia; Vombatidae
Description: Small nucleolar RNA SNORD126 (ENSVURG00010018915.1)
Rfam family: Small nucleolar RNA SNORD126
Source: Rfam by way of RNAcentral
UGUCUGCCAUGAUGAAAUGCAUUUUUCAGUCCGUGUUUCAGCUGAUUACCCUGAUUGCAUGCAUACUCUGAGCAGACU